This 497-nucleotide ribosomal RNA is filed under the name uncultured bacterium. RNAcentral describes it as "partial 16S ribosomal RNA". It matches the Rfam family "Bacterial small subunit ribosomal RNA", at positions 28 to 507 of the family's 1533-position model. The record is from RNAcentral.
GAUGAACGCUGGCGGCGUGCCUAAUACAUGCAAGUCGAGCGAACGGACGAGAAGCUUGCUUCUCUGAUGUUAGCGGCGGACGGGUGAGUAACACGUGGAUAACCUACCUAUAAGACUGGGAUAACUUCGGGAAACCGGAGCUAAUACCGGAUAAUAUUUUGAACCGCAUGGUUCAAAAGUGAAAGACGGUCUUGCUGUCACUUAUAGAUGGAUCCGCGCUGCAUUAGCUAGUUGGUAAGGUAACGGCUUACCAAGGCAACGAUGCAUAGCCGACCUGAGAGGGUGAGCGGGCAGACGGGCGCGUGGCAACGGACCCGACGCCUACGGGAGGCAGCAAGGGGGAAGCUUCGGCAAUGGUCGGAAGCCAGACAGAGCAACGCCGCGUGAGUGAUAAGGGUCUUGGGGUCGUGGAACUCUGUUAUUAGGGAAGAACAUAUAUGUAAGUAACUGUGCACAUCCUGACGGUACAUAAUCAGAAAGCCACGGCUAACUACGUG